AGGACGAACGCUGGCGGCGUGCUUAACACAUGCAAGUCGAGCGGUAAGGCCCUUCGGGGUACACGAGCGGCGAACGGGUGAGUAACACGUGGGUGAUCUGCCUCGCACUCUGGGAUAAGCCUGGGAAACUGGGUCUAAUACUGGAUACGACCAGGGACUGCAUGGUUUCUGGUGGAAAGGUUUACUGGUGCGAGAUGGGCCCGCGGCCUAUCAGCUUGUUGGUGGGGUAAUGGCCUACCAAGGCGACGACGGGUAGCCGACCUGAGAGGGUGACCGGCCACACUGGGACUGAGACACGGCCCAGACUCCUACGGGAGGCAGCAGUGGGGAAUAUUGCACAAUGGGCGAAAGCCUGAUGCAGCGACGCCGCGUGAGGGAUGACGGCCUUCGGGUUGUAACCUCUUUCGACAGGGACGAAGCGCAAGUGACGGUACCUGUAGAAGAAGCACCGGCUAACUACGUGCCAGCAGCCGCGGUAA
Molecule: ribosomal RNA, 479 nt
Filed under: uncultured bacterium
Lineage: Bacteria
Description: SSU rRNA
Rfam family: Bacterial small subunit ribosomal RNA
Source: RNAcentral